AGUCCCGUAGCUCAGUUGGUUAGAGCAGUACACUGAUAAUGUAAAGGUCAGCGGUUCAAAUCCGCUCGGGACUA
This 74-nucleotide transfer RNA is filed under the name Bacteroidota bacterium. RNAcentral's name for it is "tRNA-Ile". It matches the Rfam family "tRNA". From Rfam's summary of the family: Transfer RNA (tRNA) molecules are approximately 80 nucleotides in length. Their secondary structure includes four short double-helical elements and three loops (D, anti-codon, and T loops). Further hydrogen bonds mediate the characteristic L-shaped molecular structure. tRNAs have two regions of fundamental functional importance: the anti-codon, which is responsible for specific mRNA codon recognition, and the 3' end, to which the tRNAs corresponding amino acid is attached (by aminoacyl-tRNA synthetases). tRNAs cope with the degeneracy of the genetic code in two manners: having more than one tRNA (with a specific anti-codon) for a particular amino acid; and 'wobble' base-pairing, i.e. permitting non-standard base-pairing at the 3rd anti-codon position. Lineage: Bacteria; Pseudomonadati; Bacteroidota. The record is from RNAcentral.